CCCAUUUCCCCUAGUCUUUUUCAUUUUCUCUCUCUCUCUCUCUCUCUCUCUCUCUCUCUCUCCCCCUCUCUCCACCGUUCUCUGUUGUGCUCCAUCGCCGCCGUUGAGAAGCUCGCCUCGCCGCCAUGGUUCACUCUGACCAUCGCCUCGCCGCCGUGAGGACCUGUGAGGAUUCACCUCGCCGCUGUGAAGAUGCCGUGAGGAGUGAGGACGCCGUCGAGCUCCAUUCUCUUCGCCUUGCCGCCCAAACCUCGUCAUUUGCUCCUCAGUCUCAGCCUCUGCAUCUCUGAGCGUAGCUGAAUCGAGCACAACCCAAGGAGCCAACCGAAUCGGGUCUUUGAUUGUUGGGCUGCCAGUGGCUUCGCAAUUUGUGCAUUUCGAAUUGAUGAAAUCGGGCUCCACUUGUCCGGUUUGUAAAGUCCCAUAUUGGCGUAGAGUACACAAAAUACAAAAGAAAAACUUUUGGCUCUUCAAAUACCUCUGCUCCGCUCAACUUAAAAGCGCUGGUUUGAAUCUGAUCCUUUGUGUCAGCGAGUUCUGGCCAUAGCCAGGCUUUGAAGUAAACUAACUUUUGUAGACUCUGCUAAAGCAAAAUGGUUUCCAACGCUACAGCUGGACUGACAUGUCCAUCCCGAAUGAAACCUACCUCAAAUGGCAUAUUUCAGGGAGAUGAUCCUCUUCAAUUUUCACUGCCUCUUGCCAUUAUGCAGAUAUGCCUUGUAGUUGUAGUUACAUGGGGUCAGGCUUUCAUCCAAAAGCCAUUAAGACAGCCACGAGUUAUUGCAGAGAUCAUUGCCAAAGGUUUCAUUGGCACUUUUCUUCAAUUACAACACCUCGUUGGGACCGCCUUAUCGGGUUUUGGUAGAUACCAACUUCAUCAAUUUCUCUAUCCAGAAUAAACUGGACUUGGAGAAGGGAAUGAUGGACUUCCUAUAUGCAAAAUGUGAGUUUAGAAUCAUUGGUUUCUUCAAUUUAAUGUGAAUAUUAAUUUGCUGCAAGAAUUGUUGUGCCGUGUUGAUGAGGUAUCCUAAGUUCAACAUAGUUGUUAAUGUGGUUUUAUAACAAGCAUUGAGUGCCAUUUAUCAUUGGCAAACACUUAAAUAUGUGUUGGUUGCUUAAUGAUAUUUAUCAAAAUAUUACUCUUGGUUGUGUGGAUGUCCAUAAAAAUGCUUAAGGAAUAAAAUGAGGAACAUUUUUUAAAUUA
This is a long non-coding RNA of Quercus lobata, 1204 nucleotides long. RefSeq lists it as uncharacterized. Lineage: Eukaryota; Viridiplantae; Streptophyta; Magnoliopsida; Fagales; Fagaceae. The record is from RefSeq and is a predicted model, not a curated record. The transcript has 7 exons.